This 864-nucleotide ribosomal RNA is filed under the name Pyrococcus sp. PK 5017. RNAcentral's name for it is "bacterial SSU rRNA". It matches the Rfam family "Archaeal small subunit ribosomal RNA", at positions 474 to 1336 of the family's 1478-position model. The record is from RNAcentral. Lineage: Archaea; Methanobacteriati; Methanobacteriota; Thermococci; Thermococcales; Thermococcaceae.
UACCGGCGGCCCGAGUGGUGGCCACUAUUAUUGGGCCUAAAGCGGCCGUAGCCGGGCCCGUAAGUCCCUGGCGAAAUCCCACGGCUCAACCGUGGUGCUCGCUGGGGAUACUGCGGGCCUUGGGACCGGGAGAGGCCGGGGGUACCCCCGGGGUAGGGGUGAAAUCCUAUAAUCCCGGGGGGACCGCCAGUGGCGAAGGCGCCCGGCUGGAACGGGUCCGACGGUGAGGGCCGAAGGCCAGGGGAGCGAACCGGAUUAGAUACCCGGGUAGUCCUGGCUGUAAAGGAUGCGGGCUAGGUGUCGGGCGAGCUUCGAGCUCGCCCGGUGCCGUAGGGAAGCCGUUAAGCCCGCCGCCUGGGGAGUACGGCCGCAAGGCUGAAACUUAAAGGAAUUGGCGGGGGAGCACUACAAGGGGUGGAGCGUGCGGUUUAAUUGGAUUCAACGCCGGGAACCUCACCGGGGGCGACGGCAGGAUGAAGGCCAGGCUGAAGGUCUUGCCGGACGCGCCGAGAGGAGGUGCAUGGCCGCCGUCAGCUCGUACCGUGAGGCGUCCACUUAAGUGUGGUAACGAGCGAGACCCGCGCCCCCAGUUGCCAGUCCCUCCCGCUCGGGAGGGAGGCACUCUGGGGGGACUGCCGGCGAUAAGCCGGAGGAAGGGGCGGGCGACGGUAGGUCAGUAUGCCCCGAAACCCCCGGGCUACACGCGCGCUACAAUGGGCGGGACAAUGGGACCCGACCCCGAAAGGGGAAGGGAAUCCCCUAAACCCGCCCUCAGUUCGGAUCGCGGGCUGCAACUCGCCCGCGUGAAGCUGGAAUCCCUAGUACCCGCGUGUCAUCAUCGCGCGGCGAAUACGUCCCUGCUCC